CCUACGGGUGGCAGCAGUGGGGAAUAUUGCACAAUGGGGGAAACCCUGAUGCAGCGACGCCGCGUGAGUGAAGAAGUAUUUCGGUAUGUAAAGUCCUGUUAGUAGGGAAGAAAAUGACGGUAUCUGACGAAGAAGCCCCGGCUAACUACGUGCCAGCAGCCGCGGUAAUACGUAGGGGGCAAGCGUUACCCGGAUUCACUGGGUGUAAAGGGAGCGUAGACGGCAGGGCAAGUCAGAUGUGAAAGGCGGGGGCUCAACCCUCGGACUGCACUGGAAACUUUCAGGCUGGAGUGUGGGAGAGGUAAGUGGAAUUCCUAGUGUAGCGGUAAAAUGCGUAGAGAUUAGGAGGAACACCAGUGGCGAAGGCGACUUACUGGACUGUAACUGACGUUGAGGCGCGAAAGCGUGGGGAGCAAACAGGAUUAGAUACCCGAGUAGUC
RNAcentral lists this ribosomal RNA (440 nucleotides) under uncultured bacterium. RNAcentral describes it as "partial 16S ribosomal RNA". It matches the Rfam family "Bacterial small subunit ribosomal RNA", at positions 338 to 795 of the family's 1533-position model. The record is from RNAcentral.